UACGGGGGGGGUAAGCGUUGUUCGGAAUUACUGGGCGUAAAGGGCUCGUAGGCGGCCAACUAAGUCAUACGUGAAAUCCCUCAGCUUAACUGGGGAACUGCGUGUGAUACUGGAUGGCUUGGAUUUGGGAGAGGGAUGCGGAAUUCCAGGUGUAGCGGUGAAAUGCGUAGAUAUCUGGAGGAACACCGGUGGCGGAGGCGGCAUCCUGGACCGACAUUGACGCUGAGGCGCGAAAGCCAGGGGAGCAAACGGG
RNAcentral lists this ribosomal RNA (253 nucleotides) under uncultured bacterium. RNAcentral's name for it is "partial 16S ribosomal RNA". It matches the Rfam family "Bacterial small subunit ribosomal RNA", at positions 524 to 776 of the family's 1533-position model. The record is from RNAcentral.